Molecule: long non-coding RNA, 200 nt
Filed under: Elaeis guineensis (African oil palm)
Lineage: Eukaryota; Viridiplantae; Streptophyta; Magnoliopsida; Arecales; Arecaceae
Description: long non-coding RNA (EGUI_LNC050984)
Source: RNAcentral
AAUUUCUAAUUCAGUGAUGGAAGGCUGCUAGGUGUAGUCAAGUACUUGACUUGUCGGUGCGUGUGUCAAGAUGGGAUUGACCACUCCAGUUCAGGAGCUGUGUACAGUCAUGUUUCAAUUUAGCAAAACCUUGGCCAGGGUAGUCCUAGUGAGGAGUCAUAGGACUGUUUGAGUUGAGCACGAUUCGGAUGAUCUGAUCA